This 194-nucleotide ribosomal RNA is filed under the name uncultured bacterium. RNAcentral's name for it is "partial 16S ribosomal RNA". It matches the Rfam family "Bacterial small subunit ribosomal RNA", at positions 332 to 523 of the family's 1533-position model. The record is from RNAcentral.
AUUACUCCUACGGGAGGCAGCAGUGAGGAAUAUUGGACAAUGGGCGCAAGCCUGAUCCAGCCAUGCCGCGUGCAGGAUGACGGUCCUAUGGAUUGUAAACUGCUUUUGCACAGGAAGAAACAACGCUACGUGUAGCGUCUUGACGGUACUGUGAGAAUAAGGAUCGGCUAACUCCGUGCCAGCAGCCGCGGUAA